AAUAUUGCGCAAUGGGGGCAACCCUGACGCAGCAACGCCGCGUGAGUGAGGAAGGUUUUCGGAUUGUAAAGCUCUGUCGAGCGGAAAGAAAUGCAUGAUGGCUAAUAUCCAUCAUGCUUGACGGUACCGCUAAAGGAAGCACCGGCUAACUCCGUGCCAGCAGCCGCGGUAAUACGGGGGGUGCAAGCGUUGUUCGGAAUUAUUGGGCGUAAAGAGCGUGUAGGCGGCUUGACAAGUCAGAUGUGAAAUCCCUGGGCUUAACCUAGGAAGUGCAUUUGAAACUGUCAGGCUUGAGUAAGGGAGAGGAAAGUGGAAUUCCUGGUGUAGAGGUGAAAUUCGUAGAUAUCAGGAGGAACACCGGUGGCGAAGGCGACUUUCUGGCCCUAUACUGACGCUGAGACGCGAAAGCGUGGGUAGCAAACAGGAUUAGA
RNAcentral lists this ribosomal RNA (431 nucleotides) under uncultured bacterium. Its description in RNAcentral is "bacterial SSU rRNA". It matches the Rfam family "Bacterial small subunit ribosomal RNA", at positions 360 to 782 of the family's 1533-position model. The record is from RNAcentral.